RNAcentral lists this ribosomal RNA (1973 nucleotides) under mouse gut metagenome. RNAcentral's name for it is "bacterial LSU rRNA". It matches the Rfam family "Bacterial large subunit ribosomal RNA", at positions 1 to 1980 of the family's 2925-position model. The record is from RNAcentral.
UUAAAUUAAUAAGGGCACAUAGUGGAUGCCUUGGCAUUAGAAGACGAUGAAGGACGCGACAAACAGCGAUAUGCUUCGGGGAGCAGUAAGUAUGCUUUGAUCCGGAGAUUUCCGAAUGGGGAAACCCACUAGCUACGGCUAGUACCCUAGAAUGAAUACAUAGUUCUAGAGGAGGCAACCCAGGGAACUGAAACAUCUUAGUACCUGGAGGAAAAGAAAGAAAAUCGAUUACCUUAGUAGUGGCGAGCGAAACGGUAAUAGCCCAAACCAACCUUUGGGUUGGGGUUGUAGGACACUAUAUACGGAGUUACAAAGUUUCUUGAUAGCAGAACAUUUUGGAAAAUUUGGCUGGAAAGGGUGAAAGCCCCGUAUGCGAAAUCAUGAAAUCUCUUUAGUGUAUCCUGAGUACGACGGGACACGUGAAAUCUUGUCGGAAUCUGCGAGGACCAUCUCGCAAGGCUAAAUACUCUCUAAUGACCGAUAGUGAACAAGUACCGUGAGGGAAAGGUGAAAAGAACCCCGGGAGGGGAGUGAAAUAGAAUACUGAAACUAUGUGCUUACAAAAAGUUCGAGCCCGUUAAUGGGUGAGAGCGUGCCUUUUGCAGAAUGAGCCGGCGAGUUAUGGUAUUGUGCAAGGUUAAGUGGAAUACACGGAGCCGAAGCGAAAGCGAGUCUUAAUAGGGCGCUUUAGUACAAUGCUGUAGACCCGAAACCGAGUGAUCUAGCCAUGAGCAGGCUGAAGUGGGGGUAACACCUCAUGGAGGGCCGAACCAGGACACGUUGUAAAGUGUUUGGAUGACUUGUGGCUAGCGGUGAAAUUCCAAUCGAACUCGGAGAUAGCUGGUUCUCCCCGAAAUAGGUUUAGGCCUAGCCUCGGAUAUUGCAGCCUGGAGGUAGAGCACUGAAUAUGCGAUGGCCCCGUCUAGGGGUACUGAGUGUAAUCAACCUCCGAAUGCCAGGUGUUGUAGAUCCGGGAGUCAGUGUAUGAGGUGAUAACGUCCAUACGCGAGAGGAAAACAAUCCAGACCAUCAGCUAAGGUCCCAAAAUAUAUGUUAAGUGGGAAAGGAUGUGGAGUCGCACGAACAGCUAGGAGGUUGGCUUAGAAGCAGCCACCCUUUAAAGAGUGCGUAAUAGCUCACUAGUCGAGUGGCUCUGCGCCGAAAAUGUACCGGGGCUAAACAUAUUACCGAAGCUAUGGAUUUGUACUUGUACAAAUGGUAGGGGAGCGUUCUAAAUGCGCUGAAGAUAGAUCGUGAGGACUAUUGGAGCGUUUAGAAGUGAGAAUGCCGGUGUGAGUAACGUUAGGUAGGUGAGAAUCCUACCCACCGUUUGACCAAGGUUUCCAGGGUAAAGUUCGUCUUCCCUGGGUUAGUCAGGACCUAAGGCGAGGCUGAAAAGCGUAGUCGAUGGACAACAGGUUUAUAUUCCUGUACUGCUUAUAAGACUGAUGGAGUGACGGAGAAAGCUAAGAAAUGCCUGUUAUUGGAUUCAGGUUUAAGCGCUUAGGCUGAUACAUAGGAAAAUCCGUGAUAUCGUUCAAGCUGAAACGUGAUGACGACGUGGUCUACGGACCGCUAAGAUUUCUGACGCUAUGCUUCCAAGAAAAACUUCUAAAGAUAUGUUAUAAGUACCUGUACCGAGAACCGACACAGGUGGUCAAGGAGAGAAUCCUAAGGUGAGCGAGAGAACUAUGGUUAAGGAACUCGGCAAAAUGACCCCGUAACUUCGGAAUAAGGGGAGGUUUCUUUUGAAACCCGCAGUGAAUUGUCCCAGGCAACUGUUUACCAAAAACACAGGUCUCUGCUAAAGCGUAAGCUGAUGUAUAGGGGCUGACGCCUGCCCAGUGCUGGAAGGUUAAGAGGAUAUGUUAGAUAGAGGAAACUCGGUGAUUCGAAGCAUUGAAUUGAAGCCCCAGUGAACGGCGGCCGUAACUAUAACGGUCCUAAGGUAGCGAAAUUCCUUGUCAGGUAAG